UAUGUUUAAGUCAGAGAUCUAAGUGAGUCUGAAACCUCUUCAUAAAGUUCUGAUUUUAAAGCAGUCUUAUGAACAGGAAGUGACAUCACGCUCUCCUGCUCUAACCCGUCUCCUCUCGUUCAUCGUGAUUCACAGACGUCACCAAAACACAAACCUCCGUCCUGUGAGUUUAAAACUUCAGAAUGAAACAGGAGGAGGUCUCAGGUGAGAUCUGAACACUCCUCCUCUGGGAUCUCUCAGAGAACACAUGUUGGUACAAACAGACUUAAAGAAGCUCCAGAGACGGUCUGUGUGUCCCCCUGAUGUCUGACUCCUCCCACCUCCUCUGAAUCAGGUCACCUCCAACACACGGCGGCCGUUUCCUCUGAUGUCAGGCGGGACGCUCUGACUAAAGACAGACGGUCCCCAGGUUCACUCUGCUCUUAAUCUGAAAUCUUAAAGUCCUCCAUGUUUAAAAGACUCACAGCUGGAGUCCAGCAUCCUUCAGGGUAUAAGCUCCUCCUCCUGGCUGUGACCUCACAGGAAAUGGCCGCUGUGUGACUAAGGAGAAAGAGCAGGAAGUGGAGCCUGUAGCAGCUGUGAGAGGAAGGUUCUGGCACUUUAUGGCGUCCUCUUGGAGCGAGACGAUCAUCUUUAAAUGCUGCGUCAUGUUUCAUGUAUAAAAUGAUAAAUCUCUAUUUUGCUCUGAGGAACGGUCGGAGGUCGUUCGCUGACUUCCUGUUAGCCUGCUUUUAUAAUAGUGUUUGAAUGGCUGCUGUACGCUAACCUUUGAGGCGACGACACGUGGGCAACUCUUAGAGGCUUCAAGCAUGAACAUAGAACCAGUUACAAGUCCAGCCGGCAAAUCUCCAGUCCAAGGGGAGCCCCGAGUCCAGCCCUGAGUCCAGCUCUGAGUCCAGCCCUGAGUCCAGCCCUGAGUCCAGCUCUGAGUCCAGCUCUGAGUCCAGCCCCGAGUCCAGCCCCAAGUCCAGCCCCGAGUCGAUCCCUGAGUCCUCUGUGGUCUGAUGUUUGAGUCUGAGAACUUUACAGAGUCCCAAGGACACGUCAGAGUCACCUAUUCCAGUUUAAAACACUAAUAUGAUUCUUAAAGGGACAGUGUUUUUUAAGAGGGGUUGUAUGAAAAAAACUCUGAACUGUCCCUUUAAGUAUCAUCCUCUUAGUUUGUGUCCCCGCAGAGCCUGGUCUGACUCUUCCCUCGUACCCGGUCCGGUCUGAUCUCAGUGACUGUGCCUGGUCCGAGUCAGCGUCUCAUCCCAGAGUCCCUACUGAAGUUUAACCCUUUCAGGUCUGUUACUGGGACACGCUCUUUUCUUUACAGUCAACGCCAAGUCAGCCAGUCUCUCCCAAGUCACGCUAAUAUGCAAAUCACUCGACCACCGCCGCUCCACUUCAGCCGGUCUGACGCGGUCUUCGGUCUCCUCGAUCUGACCGUGGUCGUGUCGUAGUCUCUGCUGCCAUCUUUCCUCUGUCGAGUCCUGUCCAAGAACCAAACGCGUCCAGGACUACGAGUCCAUGUGCUCGAUGUACGUGACCCUGAAGAGACUCGGACAUGAUCCCAAAGAGUCUGUGUUGAUGUCCGGACUGCAGGGACGGUCCUGACAUCGUUGUUUCAGUCUCUGUGAUCACGUCCGAGUCCCUUCAGGAAAGGUCUCGGACGCUGCUCCAGAGUCUGAGUCUACAGUGAUCAGGAUCAGAUCUUUGUGUCUGAGUCAGCUGAAUCUGACUCGUCACAGUCACGUCUGAGUCUCGACAGUCCGGUCCUGAACGUCAGGAUGAAUCCAGUCUUCUUCAGUUACGUCUCGUCUGAGUCUUUUCAAUCGUCCUCAAGUCUUCAGUCCCGUUAUGAUCAUGUCCUAGACUCUGUCACGUAAAACCUGUCCCCUCGAAGUCGCUUAGAUUACGUCUCGAGUCUCCUCAGUCAUGUCUCGGUCACGUCUCGGUCUUUGCAGUAAGGUCUUGGGUCACGUCUCGGUCUUUGCAGUAAGGUCUUGGGUCAUGUCUCGGUCACGUCUCGGUCUUUGCAGUAAGGUCUUGGGUCACGUCUCGGUCUUUGCAGUAAGGUCUUGGGUCAUGUCUCGGUCACGUCUCGGUCUUUACAGUAAGGUAUUGGGUCACGUCUCGGUCUUUGCAGUAAGGUCUUGGGUCACGUCUCGGUCUUUGCAGUAAGGUAUUGGGUCACGUCUCGGUCUUUGCAGUAAGGUCUUGGGUCAUGUCUCGUUAACGUCUCGGUCUUUACAGUAAGGUAUUGGGUCACGUCUCGGUCUUUGCAGUAAGGUCUUGGGUCAUGUCUCGUUAACGUCUCGGUCUUUACAGUAAGGUAUUGGGUCACAUCUCGGUCUUUACAGUAAGGUCUUGGGUCACGUCUCGGUCAUGUCUCGGUCACGUCUCGGUCUUUGCAGUAAGGUCUUGGGUCACGUCUCGGUCAUGUCUCGGUCACGUCUCGGUCUUUGCAGUAAGGUCUCCAGUGUCCUGGGUCUUUGCAGUAAGGUCUCCAGUGUCCUCGGUCUUUGCAGUAAGGUCUCCAGUGUCCUGGGUCAGGGCGUAGUCACUGAGAUCACGUCUGAGUUACUCCAUAUGAACCAACAUUAAAGCUGCACGUUGUCAUCGCUGGGACAAACUAAGAUCAUCUUCUGUUCUAUGAUCAUUAAAUACUGACUCUGACAGAAAGACCUCGUCUCAGACAGAUCUCUUCAGAUUCAUCUGUGAGUGGACUCAACCAGUCUGAGUGACUGGAUGGAGACAGACGUCUGCAGCUGGAUGAAUGUUUGUUUACUUUAUUCAGACAUUUUAUUACAAUGAUUUUUUGUUAAACUUUGAUUCAGAUGUUUUUGUUUAUUGAUUUUUAUUCAGGUGUUUUUGUACGGUCCUUGUCGGUCUUUGUCCUCCUGCAGGUUUCUGUCUCUGCUCCUGUUCCAGGUCUUUCCCGCUCUGACUCCCUGGACAUGUCGUCCCGGUCUGGGCUCCUCUGCUGCGACUCUUCCUGAUGUAACUCUGCUGUAUAUGGCUUCACUGUAAACUGAAAUGCACUUUGUCAGCAGGAUUUGAAGGAGGACACGUGGUGACUGAGAGACGUCCGUCCUGAGGACGUGACCGCCUGCGAUGUGGACGAUCUGUUUCUGAGAGCACAAAAAAACAGGCAGAAUGUUAGCAUGUAGCUUGUAGCUCUGCAGCCAGCACUAAUAUAUCAAACAGCUUCUGUUGCUUUCAUUUAAAGAGAGACGUUUCCUUCAGAUCAGCUGAUGCUCAUCAGACGUGAUCAUUUAGUCUCCACAGGUUUUCAUUUCCUGUCUUCAGCAGUCUCAUGUUCGUUAGCGAUGCUAGUGCAAGUCAACGGGAUUCAUUUGUAGCAUAAACAAUGACCCUUUGUGAAGCUCCGCCUCCUGGAGAUGUUUCUGACCCGGCGUCCGUCAAACGUCUCGCUGUGUCCGGUUUAUUUAUCCCCGUGUUUUGUUUCCUGUUUUUACAAGUCUUUUUUUAAUAUUUCUAUUUCAUCCUUUUUAUCUCAUGAAGUCGCUUCUUCUGUUCGUCUGUGUUACAAAGUCAAAUGUGAGAAAUAAAGUUUGGACAA
Long non-coding RNA from Notolabrus celidotus (New Zealand spotty), 3568 nucleotides. RefSeq lists it as uncharacterized. The record is from RefSeq and is a predicted model, not a curated record. NCBI's taxonomy places the organism in Eukaryota, Metazoa, Chordata, Actinopteri, Labriformes, Labridae. The transcript is spliced from 3 exons.